RNAcentral lists this ribosomal RNA (497 nucleotides) under uncultured bacterium. RNAcentral describes it as "partial 16S ribosomal RNA". It matches the Rfam family "Bacterial small subunit ribosomal RNA", at positions 28 to 507 of the family's 1533-position model. The record is from RNAcentral.
GAUGAACGCUGGCGGCGUGCCUAAUACAUGCAAGUCGAGCGAACAGAUGAGGAGCUUGCUCCUCUGACGUUAGCGGCGGACGGGUGAGUAACACGUGGAUAACCUACCUAUAAGACUGGGAUAACUUCGGGAAACCGGAGCUAAUACCGGAUAAUAUAUUGAACCGCAUGGUUCAAUAGUGAAAGACGGUUUUGCUGUCACUUAUAGAUGGAUCCGCGCCGCAUUAGCUAGUUGGUAAGGUAACGGCUUACCAAGGCAACGAUGCGUAGCCGACCUGAGAGGGUGAUCGGCCACACUGGAACUGAGACACGGUCAAGACUACUACGGGAGGCAGCAGUAGGGAAUCUUCCGCAAUGGGCGAAAGCCUGACGGAGCAACGCCGCGUGAGUGAUGAAGGUCUUCGGAUCGUAAAACUCUGUUAUUAGGGAAGAACAAAUGUGUAAGUAACUAUGCACGUCUUGACGGUACCUAAUCAGAAAGCCACGGCUAACUACGUG